GAUGAACGCUGGCGGCGUGCCUAACACAUGCAAGUCGAGCGAACAGACGAUGAUCUUGCUCCUCUCACGUUAGCGGCAGACGUGAGUGUCACACGUGUAUAACCCACCUAUAAUACUGGUAUCUUUUCGGAACACCGGCUCAAAUACCGUAUGAUCUAUUGAUCCACAUUGUUGGUUGGAAAAAUACGGUUGUUCUGUCUCUUCUCGAUGGAUCCGGGCCGCUUUAGCUAGUAGGUAAUGUAACGGCUUAUCAAGGCAACGAUGCGUAGCCGACCUGAGAGAGUGAUCGGCCACACUGGAACUGAGACACGGUCCAGACUCCUACGGGAGGCAGCAGUAGGGAAUGGUACGCAAUGGGCGAAAGCCUGACGGAGCAACGCCGCGUGAGUGAUGAAGGUCUUCGGAUCGUAAAACUCUGUUAUUAGGGAAGAACAAAUGUGUAAGUAACUAUGCACGUCGUGACGGUACCUAAUCAGAAAGCCACGGCUAACUACGUG
This 497-nucleotide ribosomal RNA is filed under the name uncultured bacterium. Its description in RNAcentral is "partial 16S ribosomal RNA". It matches the Rfam family "Bacterial small subunit ribosomal RNA", at positions 28 to 507 of the family's 1533-position model. The record is from RNAcentral.